RNAcentral lists this transfer RNA (73 nucleotides) under Sphaerodactylus townsendi. Its description in RNAcentral is "tRNA-Ala". It matches the Rfam family "tRNA". From Rfam's summary of the family: Transfer RNA (tRNA) molecules are approximately 80 nucleotides in length. Lineage: Eukaryota; Metazoa; Chordata; Lepidosauria; Squamata; Sphaerodactylidae. The record is from RNAcentral.
AGACAUCAUGGCUCAGUAGUAGAAUAUUUGCUUUGCAUGCACAAGAGCCCAGUUUCAAUUCCUGGUAUGUCUG